GGAAAAAUAGCCGAGUUGGUCAAGGCGUUAGUCUGAAACACUAAAGAUGUAAGUUCGAUUCUUACUUUUUCCA
This 73-nucleotide transfer RNA is filed under the name Emticicia agri. RNAcentral's name for it is "Emticicia sp. 17J42-9 tRNA-Phe". It matches the Rfam family "tRNA". Rfam says of the family: Transfer RNA (tRNA) molecules are approximately 80 nucleotides in length. Their secondary structure includes four short double-helical elements and three loops (D, anti-codon, and T loops). Further hydrogen bonds mediate the characteristic L-shaped molecular structure. tRNAs have two regions of fundamental functional importance: the anti-codon, which is responsible for specific mRNA codon recognition, and the 3' end, to which the tRNAs corresponding amino acid is attached (by aminoacyl-tRNA synthetases). tRNAs cope with the degeneracy of the genetic code in two manners: having more than one tRNA (with a specific anti-codon) for a particular amino acid; and 'wobble' base-pairing, i.e. permitting non-standard base-pairing at the 3rd anti-codon position. The record is from RNAcentral. Lineage: Bacteria; Pseudomonadati; Bacteroidota; Cytophagia; Cytophagales; Leadbetterellaceae.